Molecule: long non-coding RNA, 705 nt
Organism: Micropterus dolomieu (smallmouth bass)
Lineage: Eukaryota; Metazoa; Chordata; Actinopteri; Centrarchiformes; Centrarchidae
Exons: 2
Source: RefSeq, a predicted model, not a curated record
GUUAUCUGACGUUGGCAAUAAAUGAGAGAGGAAUGAGAGGACCGGUUGCUAGAACUGGCAAAACUGUUUCAGAAGUAAAUCUACUUUCACGUCUGUCAGCAGCGUAGCCUCCAACACUAUGUUACGGUAACAUUAAACACACUGCUGAGCCUGGAAAGUGUAGUGAAAAAUGGGAGGGUUAGCAAGUCUGGUCUCCGAGAGGAAGUGAUGAGAGCUAUUUUUAUUAUUAUUUAAGUCAUGUAAUGUCACAACCUCUUGACCGUGACCCUGGAUGGUGGCUGUGUGUGUAUGAGUGGCUUUGAUUUGAUUUUUGCCUUUUGGGUGUUUGCUGUGUGCUUGGUGGGUUUUCUCUUCCAUGUCUCCUGGAGUUGGUGGUCGUGGUCUCCGGCUCAAUUUGGCUGUGGCACACCUGUACUCAAGCACCUGAUCUGCAUUCCCUCAUCACCGCACACUACUUAAACCUGGCCAGCUCUACAGUUCUUGCUGGAUUGUUGUGUUACCUGAGAGAUUCACCCUGUCCCCCUGGAUUACCGGUCUUCCCAGUCAGUCUGCACGGUUGUCUGGAUUUACCCCCACCUUCUCUUACCUGCCAGCUCCCACAACUUCUCCCUCCUCAAUGGAACCUGGACCUAUCCCCGACCCCCUCCUCUGCUCAUUCAUUCCUAUCUGUUUGCUAUUUUCCAAAUAAACCUCUAAACACCAUCA